Molecule: long non-coding RNA, 2082 nt
Organism: Mercurialis annua (annual mercury)
Lineage: Eukaryota; Viridiplantae; Streptophyta; Magnoliopsida; Malpighiales; Euphorbiaceae
Exons: 3
Source: RefSeq, a predicted model, not a curated record
CCAAGUUUAAUUCUGACAAUGAUUGACUGGUUCUUAGUUCAUAGGCCCAAACCACCGCCUACGUAAGUAAUUAACGAUAGCCCAGGAAGAGAUUUCCGGGCCAAUUUUUGACGCUUUCAGGUUUCAAUUUCAACCCGAAAUACAAAGGGAAGUUGUAAAAGAUAUUGUGAACUAUACGAAUACCAUUUUCGUUCAGUGAACAAACAUUUCUGAAUAAGCAAUUUGGACAGCCAAAGAGAACAAAAAAAAAAAUCAUCUUUUGGACAAGUUUAGGAUAACUUGAAAAGCGUAAGUCAAAGUUAAUAUCGACAAGUGGUGGACAAAAGAAAAAGUUCAAAGUUGAUAUCUAGAAUGACACAACCUGUAUGGUAUUAAGGAGCGAAAAACAGAGAUAGGUUGAUGAAUGCCAACGCUUAGAAGUGAAAGGAUAUAAACUUAUCAAGGCAAGAAGUUAGUAGACAAUGAGAUUAACAUCUCGAUGAGAAUAAUAUAUGAAAUAGCUACGCGAGAACUAAGAAAGUUCGUGAAGGGAUUAGUCAUCUCUUUUAUAACAAACGUUAAACAUUGCCAUAUGAUUAAGCAAGAUACAAAAGAACGGAAGAACAAGACUAUCUUUAAGGAUGUUAGCAACUAUUGUAAGAUAAAUCAAACACUUGAUAAUAAAGACGAGUAACUAGAAAACUGUCAAGAAAUGACGAUAUAAGAAACUUUAAGGAACACAGUGGAUUACAACGACGAAGUUGUUAGAACUUUAUGAUCCAGAUAACGAUAGUAUAAGAAGUAAGAUGUUAAAUCUUUAUGAGGAGCAAUAAGAAUUGCUAAGAAAUGUAAUAUUUGAUGGAUAAGAGUAUUGUUAUAAUUAUGAAAAUUCGAGGGCGAAUUUUUAUAAGGGGGGAAGAAUGUAAUACCCCGUAUUUUUAAAAGUACCGAGUAAGAUGCCACGCAGUAUAAGUGUGAGAACUUAAUCAAGGACGUCGGAAUUAAGUUCGAGAAAUAAGAAUUUAGACCGAAGCGGGUUUAUUAAAAUUAUCGUAAAAUAAUAAAUUAAGUGGAAUUUAUUAUUUGAUAAAUUGGAAUUUAGCGGGACUAAGAAAAAUAAAUAAAUUAGAAUAAAAUAAAUGGUAAGUCCCGAGUUAAUAAAUUUUACGAUAAAGUUCGUAAAAUAAGUUUAAGGAGCUAAGAUAAAAUUUUAUAGAAAUUGGACGAAAGGACUUUAAUUAAACGGGAUUCGAUUAUCGGCAAAGGAAAAGGAUAUAAAUAAAUGGACCCGGAUAAAUAAAUAAUACGACGGAGUCCAUUAUUUAUCGAUAAAGAAUAAUCGUCAAGGUUCCGUUAGAUUAUGAAAUACAAAUUGGAGUGAAAUUGGGAAAUAGAAAGUUGAGGAAUUAAGCUUUAAGAGGUGCUUAAUUUAAGCACUUUAAUGGGUAUUUUUCCCAUCAAUUCAAUGAAAAUAAGACACAUAUUUCUCCACCUCUUAAAUAUUUCUCUAGCAAAAAUUAAAGAUCAAAAUCUGAGAUCAAAAGGAAAUGAGAAACCCUUCUUCUUCACAUCACCGAAACCUCCAUCACCCUCAACAUUCAUCUUGCGCACCCACCACGGCGGAAGCCAUAUCUCGACAAUCCGACCACCAAAUUCAGCGAUUCAAACUCGGAUACGAAGCUAACACACCAAGGAACAAGACUCGGCGAGGCGACUACCAAUAGGACGCGGAACGUAAAGAACGCGACAUCGCUUUGCUAUGACCGUAGUUUUGGAUAGAAAACAUGUUAUGUUUCAGGUGUAUAGUAUCAGAUGUAACGGACUUCUAUCCUUGUUCCAGAAGUCCGCGAGUACAGAAAGAAGGAACCAAUCAGUAGUGCUGCAGUAGUCGAGUCCUAGAGUGUAAUUAUGUUUUGUCAAACGGUUUUAAAUAUUUUGUUUAUACUCUGAUAUGUAUAAAGGCUUUAGACUGCGCUUUUAAACCGUUUGCAUAUAUGUGAGAAACAGGGCAUUGCUUGAUAUGAGAUAUCGCUUUGUAAGACCCUGAUUUCUAAAGAUCGUCUUGUAUCGUUUAAAAGAAGUUUUAUAAAAACGUUUUGUGAA